AGAGUUUGAUCCUGGCUCAGAACGAACGCUGGCGGCGUGCUUAACACAUGCAAGUCGAACGCGAAAGAAUUCUUCGGAAUUUGAGUAGAGUGGCGCACGGGUGAGUAACGCGUAAGUAAUCUACCCUGGUAUCUGGGAUAACUCACCGAAAGGUGUGCUAAUACCGGAUACGCUGAGUAAUCAGGAAAGGUGGCCUCUUCAUGAAAGCUACUGUACCAGGAGGAGCUUGCGUACCAUUAGCUAGUUGGUAGGGUAAUGGCCUACCAAGGCAACGAUGGUUAGCGGGUCUGAGAGGAUGAUCCGCCACACUGGAACUGAGACACGGUCCAGACUCCUACGGGAGGCAGCAGUGGGGAAUAUUGGGCAAUGGGCGCAAGCCUGACCCAGCAACGCCGCGUGAGGGAAGAAGGCUUUCGGGUUGUAAACCUCUGUCCUUGGUGACGAAAAAAAUGACGGUAGCCAAGGAGGAAGCCCCGGCUAACUACGUGCCAGCAGCCGCGGUAAUA
Molecule: ribosomal RNA, 506 nt
Filed under: uncultured bacterium
Lineage: Bacteria
Description: bacterial SSU rRNA
Rfam family: Bacterial small subunit ribosomal RNA
Source: RNAcentral